Ictalurus punctatus (channel catfish) is the source of this 2926-nucleotide RNA transcript. It is a transcript of the gene named RING finger protein 223, with no coding region annotated. The record is from RefSeq and is a predicted model, not a curated record. The transcript is spliced from 4 exons. NCBI's taxonomy places the organism in Eukaryota, Metazoa, Chordata, Actinopteri, Siluriformes, Ictaluridae.
CAUUUUAUCCAUGGCCUGCACCUUCAGAGAAGCACAGAUAACAGAAAUGGAGAUAUCGUAUCCAACGAGUAGAGAUUGUGGAGAAAAGGAAGAAGACUAAAACAUAGGUAGGGACAGAUAGACAGAAGGUCUGGAAAUGUUACACUCUGAAAUUCCCUUGUCCUUCGUACUGGCCCUCCCCCCUCACUAAGCCUGCCUCAAGGCAGAGUUAUUGUUCCUGCCUAUCAGUGUCAUUUCAACAGGGCGUGAGGAACGUUGGGGCAAGUGAGAGUGGAGAUGAGGCAGUCACCGUGCAGUGAGAAGGCAGUGCACUUCUGUUUCACCUGCAGCACCGCUGACCCGAGACUCGAGAAUGUGAACAUGCUCUAGAAGCAACUGAGGAGAGAGGAAACUAGACGGAUACACAAACAGACUUGUUUUGUGUACUGGUCAAGUGUGCAUCGUUGCAUGAUCUCAGUGUUCUGCACGUACACAAGACCAUAAAUCCAAGCCAAUCAGACAUAAGGAGGUGUGAAUGAUAGGAUGUACCUGUAAGAUGGACCUGGGAGCGACUGUGUGGCACACCCAGACAACAGUGGACGCUGAUGUGGAGAAAGGUCCCGAGCUGCAGUGCUCCAUCUGUUUCACCACGUAUGACAAUGUCUUCAAAACGCCCAAACAGCUGGACUGCACACAUACAUUCUGUCUGGAGUGCCUCUCACGCCUCAUGGCCAUCUCCAUGGACCCUGAGGAGAGCAAAAUCUCGUGUCCUUUCUGCCGCCACUUGACAGCCAUCCCUAAAAAUGGCCCGCCGGCUCUGACUACCAGCCAUGAGGUUCUGUGUCGUCUUCCCAGGCAUCAGCAACACGAGGAGCCCGUGUGGCUCGAUGGGGACAAGCUGUGCUACAACCGGCCACUUAAGACAGGCAUGCCGGCUUUCUGCAUCUGCAUUGACAUUGGUGCCAGUGGGCAUGGUGCAGGUGCUCCGCGUCAGACGCGCCCCAGGGUGAGCCUGAUGGAAAGACUUGCUAACUGGAAGAAGCUGCUGCUGUUUAUUGUAAUCAUGGUGCUGGUGGCGGUGAUUGUGCUGUGGCCGUUGCAGUGUAUCAUCACCACAGGGUCGAUGCGCUGCGUGCCUCGCACCCCACAGCCCAACCCCAGCACAUCUCCACGCACACUGAUGUACACUGAUGACUGACACACAAACAAACUGUUCAUCUUACACUCCUGAGACCUGUACACUCAGUGAUGAUUGGCAAGACACGAAUGAAAUGUUAUUAUUAUUAUUAGAAACUGAGAAUGGGCUUGAAACCGUGUCCAAAACCAUCCAUAUGACCUUCAUUCAUUCAUUUUUAGUAGCCACUUUAUCUUGGACAGGGUUGUGUUGGAUCCAGAGUCUAUCCUGGGAAUACUGAACAUGAGGUGGGAAGACUGGAUGGAUGCCAGUCCAUCGCCAGCAGCAUACACACACACACACUUUCACAUCUAGGGGAAAUUUAGCAUCACCAAUCCACCUACUGUGUUGUUUUGGGAGGUGGGAUGAAACCUGAGAAGCCAAAAGAGACCCAGAUGGACACAGGGAGAACAAGAAACACUCCACACAGACAGUAACCUGAGCUCAGGAUCGAAACCUGGAGCUGUGAAGUGGUGACGCUUCCAGCUGCGAGACAAAUCAAUGGCUAAAUCUUUGAUUAGUAUUAGUUUACUGAGACUCGUGUUCAUCUGCAGAAAAGCACAGGGCUGGACUUACUAUAGAUCUAAUGAGGUGAUGAGAGGUAGGAAAAGCACAGGGAGGGGUUACUAUAGCUCUAAUAGGAGGUGAUGAGAGGUAGGAAAAGCACAGGGAGGGGUUACUAUAGCUCUAAUAGGAGGUGAUGAGAGGUAGGAAAAGCACAGGGCUGGACUUACCAUUGAUCUAAUAAGAUUAUGAGAGGUAGGAAAAGCACAGGGAGGGGUUACUAAAGAUCUAAUGAGAUGAUUAGAGGUAGGAAAAGCACAGGGCUGGACUUACUAUAGAUCUAAUAAGAUGAUUAGAGGUAGGAAAAGCACAGGGCUGGACUUACUAUAGAUUUAAUGAGAUGAUGAGAGGUAGGAAAAGCACAGGGAUGGGUUACUAUAGAUCUAAUGAGAUGAUGAGAGGUAGGAAAAGCACAGGGAGGGGUUACUAUAGCUCUAAUGAGGUGAUGAGAGGUAGGAAAAGCACAGGGAGGGGUUACUAAAGAUCUAAUGAGAUGAUUAGAGGUAGGAAAAGCACAGGGCUGGACUUACUAUAGAUCUAAUAAGAUGAUUAGAGGUAGGAAAAGCACAGGGCUGGACUUACUAUAGAUUUAAUGAGAUGAUGAGAGGUAGGAAAAGCACAGGGAUGGGUUACUAUAGAUCUAAUGAGAUGAUGAGAGGUAGGAAAAGCACAGGGAGGGGUUACUAUAGCUCUAAUGAGAUGAUGAGCGGUAGGACACCUGUGGAAGGGUAAAAGACUGUAACGUGAUGUAAACAGGUCUAAUACUAUGUUCAUCUUCAGCACUUUCUAAAAUAUUUACAUUUUUCCACGUCUAAAUCAGAAUCUUUGAAUUAAGAAAGGAAUGUAAAUUAGUUUGUGGUUAAUUCCAAGUCUGGCUGGGUAUUUUUUUUUUAAGAUCCAAUGCCAUGUUUUGUUUUGUUUUUUUAAACUUGUAUAAAAAAAUGAUUGAAAUUAGAAAUCUCAGAACAGUAUUCAAAGUGGUUCUUUAAAGUGGACAUGAGACACCUCAUGCCAAAAUCCAUUAAAAGGUUAUAUUAACUUUUUAAUAACUGCACUAUGAAUAUCCUUAUGUGGCUUUCAUACAUAAACAUUUCUAUAGUUGUGUAUAAUUUUAUAUGCGCUGUAUAUAGAAUAUUUGUUCUCACUGUAUUAUGGACUACAUUUUUUUUUUUUUUUUUUUGCCUAUCAAAAAAUAAAUGCUGACUAAAC